Molecule: ribosomal RNA, 423 nt
Filed under: uncultured Bacillus sp.
Lineage: Bacteria; Bacillati; Bacillota; Bacilli; Caryophanales; Bacillaceae
Description: bacterial SSU rRNA
Rfam family: Bacterial small subunit ribosomal RNA
Source: RNAcentral
CAACGCGAAGAACCUUACCAGGCUUGACAUCCCCUGACCGCGUAUGAAAGUACGUUUUCACCCUCGGGUGACAGGGAGACAGGUGGUGCAUGGUUGUCGUCAGCUCGUGUCGUGAGAUGUUGGGUUAAGUCCCGCAACGAGCGCAACCCCUACGUUUAGUUGCUAACGCGUGAAGGCGAGCACUCUAGACGAACUGCCGUUGACAAAACGGAGGAAGGUGGGGAUGACGUCAAAUCAUCAUGCCCCUUAUGUUCUGGGCUACACACGUGCUACAAUGGCCGGUACAGACGGACGCAAAGCCGCGAGGUGGAGCAAAUACCUAAAAAGCCGGUCUCAGUUCGGAUUGCAGGCUGCAAUUCGCCUGCAUGAAGUCGGAAUCGCUAGUAAUCGCAGGUCAGCAUACUGCGUGAUACGUCCGGCCUU